GGGACAGAGGGGGAGGGUCAGGGGAACUUAGAUAGGAGGGCGAGGAACUUUGAUUGGGUGUAGAAUAUGUGGUUAGCUGGACUGAUAAGGUGGAUAGAUUUAGAGUAAGUUAGGAUAGGAUAGGUCUUUGAUAGGGGGUUGAAGGUUAGGCGAACUUUGAUUGGAUAGAGAAAUUGAGGGGAAGAUAGAUUUGGUUUUAGUUGGGUUUCAGAAGUUCAGGGCAUUAGGUGAGGUUACAAUGAGACUAAACUUUUUUGGAGUGCAGAAAGUUUACCCAAGUUAGGUUUGGUAAAGGUCGAGCUAGACUUUAAUAAGGGUAAGAGGUUCAGGAUUAACCCAGUAGCAGCGAUGGGCCAAAUUUGUGGCUUUACCGUGUAGCAGCGACGGGCCAAAUUUGUGGCUUUACCGUGUAGCAGCGACGGGCCAAAUUUGUGGCUUUACCAUGUAGCAGCGACGGGCCAAAUUUGUGCCAUGAUUUAAACCCCCCAAAAUAGAUGAUACAGAAUCUGAUCACAAAUGCUUUGAUAUAUAUUAUUAAACGGUUUGUGUGAGCGAUGAUUCUUUCUCAUUUUUCUCGCUUGGAGGGACCAUUAAGAAACACAAUCCCCUGCUGCUACCGGGUUAAGUAGAUUUUGAAAAGUUGCAGAAAUUCAAAAUAGAUUAGGUCAGGAUGAAACUAGACUCUGAGUUGACUAGACUGCUAAUCUUGGUGUAUGAAAACUAGGUAAAGACAGGAAUAUAUACACAGCUAGGCUAACUCAUACUGAUUUCGGGAAGGCAUCGAAAUCAAGUGUUAAAGAUUUGAUUCAGUCCUAGAAAAAGUAAAUAAAUAGAUUGGUCAGGAAUAUUAGGUUAACAUAGCAUUGCAGUCUUCAGAAGUUAAGUUACUGAGUCUGAAAUUAUUAGCAAGGGAAUGGUAGGAAAUAGAAGAGAUAAAAUAGCAGGAUAAACAAUAAUAGGAAAGAGAAUUACAGGGGAAAAGAUUGUCAUAGGAAUUAGAAUAGGAGAGACGCAAUCACGGUUAUAGGAAAGAUAGACAGGAAGGAGAGAAGAAGGGAAUGGGGGUGAGGAGAAGAAGAAGAUAGGGAAAAGAAAACAGCUGAUGAAGGGAGGAGGAGGAACAGAAAUUGAGACAGAGAGACAAACGAUAGAGAAAGGAAGGAAGGAAGGGAGGAGGUGGGAGAUGGAGAAGGAGGCAGAGGAAGGAAGGAGGAGGAGGAGAAAAAGAAAGACAAAAUGAGGUUCCAGGUAAAAAACGGAGGGAAGAGGGAGACAGAGAGAUAGGAGAAACAGAUAGGAAAGAAAGAUGAGGAGAAGAGAAAAGAGGAAACGGAGAAAUCCCAACUCCUCCUCCUCCUCCAACUCCUACAGUUUCCUCUACUACUACUACUACUACUACUAUUUCAUUAUGUGUGUGUGUCGUAUGAAAGUUACUACAGAAAGCCACUAAUCACCACAGAUUAUUUCUAGGGGUUCUUCCUUCUUGACUAAAGGAUGCGGCAGCUAAGAGUUAAAAGCUACAACGCGCUCACGUACGUAUAAGACAUCCAUCCUGAGUCCAUGUCAGCCUGUAGGUGUUCGUUGCUUCAUUCUCUCCUUCAGGCUCUUACUGAUAGUGUUCUUGUGCUCUGCCAGGCGGGGGCGGGCGCUGCAAACCUAACCUAACCCACGGCGUCGGUUGGAUUUUAGUCUGGAUGCUGAUACCGGGUUCUACUUAGUCUAGGGUUGAUGAUGAUAUUGGGUUCUACUUAGUCUAGGGUUGAUGAUGAUAUUGGGUUUUACUUAGUCUAGGGUUGAUGCUGAUAUCGGGUUUUACUUAGUCUAGGGUUGAUGCUGAUAUUGGGUUUUACUUAGUCUAGGGUUGAUGCUGAUAUUGGGUUUUACUUAGUCUAGGGUUGAUGCUGAUAUUGGGUUUUACUUAGUCUAGGGUUGAUGCUGAUAUUGGGUUUUACUUAGUCUAGGGUUGAUGCUGAUAUUGGGUUUUACUUAGUCUAGGGUUGAUGCUGAUAUUGGGUUUUACUUAGUCUAGGGUUGAUGCUGAUACUGGGUUUUACUUAGUCUAGGGUUGAUGCUGAUAUUGGGUUUUACUUAGUCUAGGGUUGAUGCUGAUACUGGGUUUUACUUAGUCUAGGGUUGAUGCUGAUACUGGGUUUUACUUAGUCUAGGGUUGAUGCUGAUACUGGGUUUUACUUAGUCUAGGGUUGAUGCUGAUAUUGGGUUUUACUUAGUCUAGGG
This is a long non-coding RNA of Eriocheir sinensis (Chinese mitten crab), 2235 nucleotides long. RefSeq lists it as uncharacterized. The transcript has 4 exons. The record is from RefSeq and is a predicted model, not a curated record. NCBI's taxonomy places the organism in Eukaryota, Metazoa, Arthropoda, Malacostraca, Decapoda, Varunidae.